Molecule: unclassified non-coding RNA, 500 nt
Filed under: Leifsonia xyli subsp. xyli
Lineage: Bacteria; Bacillati; Actinomycetota; Actinomycetes; Micrococcales; Microbacteriaceae
Source: RNAcentral
CUGUGUUGUUUUCAACGCAGAGAUUGUCCAGGCGCCGGAUCUGAGACAGUACUUAUCACAUCGGUACGACUGGGUCUCAGCCGGUCAGCUCAUGGGUGGAACAUUGACAUUGGUGCGGAGCCGAACGGCUCGAACUUAGUACGCCUGCUUGCAGGAAGGAACAGUUCGGACCGGGGAGCCUCGCACAUGCACGCUGUUGGGUCCUGAGGGACCGGACCUCAUCGCUGUGUCUUCAAGACGCUGAGAUGAGAACCGAAUCCUCUGGACCUUUUUUGGUCGGCCAUAACUGGGCCGGCGGAAAAGGUACCGCCCGUACUUUGAGAACUACACAGUGGACGCGAGCAUCUUAGAUUCGGACCUUCGGGUUCGGAUCACAAAAGAUGAUCAUAGUACUUUCGAGUACUGAUUAGAUCAUUGGUCAAUCUGCUCACUUCGGUGAGCCGAUCGAUUCAAACUCAUGUGAUUUCAAGUUUCUAAGAGCAAACGGUGGAUGCCUUGGC